This 393-nucleotide long non-coding RNA is filed under the name Glycine max (soybean). RNAcentral's name for it is "long non-coding RNA (GMAX_LNC002762)". Lineage: Eukaryota; Viridiplantae; Streptophyta; Magnoliopsida; Fabales; Fabaceae. The record is from RNAcentral.
AAGGGCAGUGAUUUCAACAACUCAUCAAAGCCUUUUGAUGAUGAUUUCAAUGAUGGCUGGAAGAUCACCAAUUCCAAUGGACCCCUUUUCUCUAUGCCUCACAACAACAACACUCACACUCUUGAAGUUGGAGGCUUCAACAAGGGAGGAAUCUAUUCCAACACCAACACCACUUCCUCCUUAUAUCCUAACCUUAACAACAACACUCUUGGAGGCUUCAACAAGGGAAUCUAUUCCAACACCACAUCCUCACCCUAUCUUAACCUUAACAACAACAACAACAACCACCUCAACAACAACCUUAACAGCAAUAAUCUCAAGGGCUACAAGACAUUUUUUAAGGGUGAAGAUCAGUUUCACACACCCAAAAGUGCCAAGAAAAACAGCAGCAAC